AAUGCCUGCGGGACGCAGCAGUGGGGAAUAUUGCACAAUGGGGGAAACCCUGAUGCAGCGACGCCGCGUGAAGGAAGAAGUAUUUCGGUAUGUAAACUUCUAUCAGCAGGGAAGAAAAUGACGGUACCUGACUAAGAAGCCCCGGCUAACUACGUGCCAGCAGCCGCGGUAAUACGUAGGGGGCAAGCGUUAUCCGGAUUUACUGGGUGUAAAGGGAGCGUAGGCGGUUUAGCAAGUCAGAAGUGAAAGCCCGGGGCUUAACUCCGGGACUGCUUUUGAACCUGUUGA
Molecule: ribosomal RNA, 288 nt
Filed under: uncultured bacterium
Lineage: Bacteria
Description: partial 16S ribosomal RNA
Rfam family: Bacterial small subunit ribosomal RNA
Source: RNAcentral